UACGGAGGAUGCAAGCGUUGUCCGGAUUUAUUGGGUUUAAAGGGUGCGUAGGCUGUAUUAUAAGUCCGUGGUCAAACUCCUUAGCUUAACUAAGGAUGUGCCAUUGAUACUGUAGUACUUGAGUAUUGUUUAGGUAGAUGGAAUUGGUAGUGUAGCGGUGAAAUGCAUAGAUAUUACCAAGAACACCGAUAGCGAAGGCAAUUUACUGAGCAAUAACUGACGCUGAGGCACGAAAGUGUGGGUAUCAAACAGG
Molecule: ribosomal RNA, 253 nt
Filed under: uncultured bacterium
Lineage: Bacteria
Description: partial 16S ribosomal RNA
Rfam family: Bacterial small subunit ribosomal RNA
Source: RNAcentral